CUACGGGGCGCAGCAGUGGGGAAUCUUGCGCAAUGGGCGAAAGCCUGACGCAGCGACGCCGCGUGCGGGACGAAGGCCUUCGGGUCGUAAACCGCUUUCAGCAGGGACGAGGCCGCGAGGUGACGGUACCUGCAGAAGAAGCCCCGGCUAACUACGUGCCAGCAGCCGCGGUAAUACGUAGGGGGCGAGCGUUAUCCGGAUUCAUUGGGCGUAAAGCGCUCGUAGGCGGCCAGUUAGGUCGGGAGUCAAAUCCGGGGGCUCAACCCCCGCCCGCUCCCGAUACCGGCUGGCUUGAGUCUGGUAGGGGAGGGCGGAAUUCCCAGUGUAGCGGUGGAAUGCGCAGAUAUUGGGAAGAACACCGGUGGCGAAGGCGGCCUUCUGGGCCACGACUGACGCUGAGGAGCGAAAGCUGGGGGAGCGAACAGGAUUAGAUACCCUCGUAGUC
RNAcentral lists this ribosomal RNA (445 nucleotides) under uncultured bacterium. RNAcentral describes it as "partial 16S ribosomal RNA". It matches the Rfam family "Bacterial small subunit ribosomal RNA", at positions 339 to 795 of the family's 1533-position model. The record is from RNAcentral.